GAUGAAGAACGUAGCGAAAUGCGAUAAGUAAUGUGAAUUGCACAAUUCAGUGUAUCAUCGAAUCUUUGAACGCACAUUGCGCCCGCCAGUAUUCUGGCGGGCAUGCCUGUUCGAGCGUCAUUACAACCCUCAGGCCCCCGGGCCUGGCGUUGGGGAUCGGCGGAAGCCCCCUGCGGGCACAACGCCGUCCCCCAAAUACAGUGGCGGUCCCGCCGCAGCUUCCAUUGCGUAGUAGCUAACACCUCGCAACUGGAGAGCGGCGCGGCCACGCCGUAAAACACCCAACUUCUGAAUGUUGACCUCGAAUCAGGUAGGAAUACCCGCUGAACUUAAGCAUAUCAAUAAGCGGAGGA
This 353-nucleotide unclassified non-coding RNA is filed under the name soil metagenome. RNAcentral describes it as "partial contains 5.8S ribosomal RNA, internal transcribed spacer 2, and large subunit ribosomal RNA". The stretch from base 1 to 120 matches the Rfam family "5.8S ribosomal RNA", at positions 35 to 154 of the family's 154-position model. The record is from RNAcentral.